UCACUGUGAUGAUUGUUCAUAACCAUUCGCAGUUUCCACCAGAAGGGUCUUCCCCUGUGUUGGCUAAAUCUUCCUUGGAUGUCUGAGUGA
Molecule: small nucleolar RNA, 90 nt
Organism: Sphaerodactylus townsendi
Lineage: Eukaryota; Metazoa; Chordata; Lepidosauria; Squamata; Sphaerodactylidae
Product: small nucleolar RNA SNORD14
Exons: 1
Source: RefSeq, a predicted model, not a curated record